AGGGCUGGGGAAGACCAGUGGAUUACAGACGGGCCUGCAAUAGCGUCGGAUCUCUUGCCUGCCUACAGUGAAUUUUAAAUAAAGUUGCCCGGGGAAGGCCUGAGGUGAUCGUUUUCUGAACGGCUGUCACUGAACUCAGGGGGUUCGUUUUGCCUGCGCGCAUCAAAGCCAAAGGGGACACCAACAAGCGUUUGCAGCAAAGAAAGUAGAGGUUUCUUUAAGGAAAUGGCACCAAACCCGGAGACACAGAUCUUAGCAGACUGGUGAUCAGACUUCCUCGUUUAAAAAGAAGCUUUGAAAACAGAGGCCCAUUGACGUCAGCUCCUCCCAUCAGACCAUAGAGAACCCAGCGACCAUCAAGAGCCAGGCAGUUGACAUUUUUCUCCCAGUAGGAUCCUCCUAUGCAAUCUAUGAUAAGGUUGACUCCAGUGCCUUCCACAUGAAACACAAAUUGUGAUGCUAGUCAGACACAGAAAGCUUGGUGCAAAAUAAGAUCCCAUGGUAUAUGUGUGGAUAUAUGGGUAUAAAUAAAUACAGCUGCAAGUGA
Molecule: long non-coding RNA, 547 nt
Organism: Rhinolophus ferrumequinum (greater horseshoe bat)
Lineage: Eukaryota; Metazoa; Chordata; Mammalia; Chiroptera; Rhinolophidae
Exons: 2
Source: RefSeq, a predicted model, not a curated record